Molecule: long non-coding RNA, 4496 nt
Organism: Solanum dulcamara
Lineage: Eukaryota; Viridiplantae; Streptophyta; Magnoliopsida; Solanales; Solanaceae
Exons: 5
Source: RefSeq, a predicted model, not a curated record
CUUUUCAGAUCAUAUGAUUGUGGUCUUCCAUGACUAGAAUAAAUAGGAAAGGUGAUAGAGGAUCACCUGUCUCAACCUCCUCUGUGAUUGGAAAAAGCCUUUUGAGUUGCCAUUUAUGAUUAGUGAAAACUUGACUUAUGCAAAAUUUUAUACAGUUGAGGCCUUUUUCUUCCAAAUCCCAUGUCCUUCAUAAUCUUCAGCAGAAAAGACCAAUUGACAUGAUCAUAGGACUUCUAUAUCCAACUUAUAAAGAAUACUCGGAGAUUUCUAUUCAACUCUGGAAUCCACCAACUCAUAGGCAAUAGGUGCAUCAUCCUCGAUUUGUCUUCCUUUCAGAAAGACCAUUUGAUGCACACCAAUCAACUUCCCCGUUACUGUCUUCAACCUCUCAGUUAUCAACUUGGAGAUAAUCUUGUAGACUCCUCUUAUCAAGUUGAUAGGCCUGAAAUCUUUCACUUCUUCAGCUCCAGCUUUCUUAGGGAGCAAUGCUAAAAAAGUAGCAUUGAAAGAUUUUUCAAAGAUUUCAUUUUGAUGGAAAUUAUGUAUUGUCAACAUCAGGUCUUCUUUUAGUAUUUUUCCCUACAAGAUUUGAGGAAGCUCAUUGUGUAACCAUCUGGGCCUGGGACUUUGCCACCAUCACAUUGUUUUAGACAUUGCAAGACCUCUGACUCAGUAAAAGGUCUUUGCAUCCAUUCUUGUUCUUCUUCCUGGGAUAUAGUUGGGCAAUCCAGGAGAUCAAAUAUAGGUCUCCAGUCUUCAGGUUCAGUGUAAAGCUUAUUGUAGAAAUUAAUCAGUGUUUCUGAUCUCUAUAGGGUCUUCAACGACCUGUCCUCUGCCCAUCAGUCUAUCAAUAGUGUUGAUCCGUUUGUGUGCUGUUGCCAUAUCCUGGAAGAGCCUUGUAUUUUUAUCUCCUCCUUUCAGCCACAACACACCGGAUUUUUGUCUCCACUUGGAUUCUUCAUGUUUUGCCAAUUCUUCCAGUUCCACAACUAUAGUGGCUCUUACCAUCAUCUCAUCUUUCAUUAGGUCUCUACUCUCCAGUAUCAAAUCAAUUUCAGCCAGUUCUUUAAGUAGCCUAUUUUUCUUCUUGAUUUGCUCUUCAAAAUUUGAUUUGCUCCAUUCCUUGAGUUUCUGCGUUAGCAUUUUUAAUUUGAUAUUGAAUCUAUAAUCUGGACAGCCUUCAAACAAGAAUUCAUUCCACCAGACCCGGUUCAAUUCAGUGAAGCCCUCCACCUUGAGCCACCGAUUUUCAAACUUAAAGUUUGACUUUUCUGCUCCCAGUUGCCACUCUCCAAUAGGAAAGGGCAGUGAUCAGAUAAAACUCUAGGUAGUAGUUUUUGUCUGAUGUUUUUGAAUUUUUAUUCCCAUUCCAUGGAGAGUAAGAAUGUAUUUAGUUGAGCUGCACUAGGAUGAUUAAUGCCUCUAAACCAAGAAAACUUUCCACCAGUUAAAUGGGGUCAUGUAAUUCCAUCUCCUCUAUCCACCUUGAGAAAUAAGAUAUAACAUAUGAGAUUCUGUUACACAUCCUCUUCUUUCUUCCAUAGUCCUGUUUGUGUUAAAAUCUCCAAAGGUAAUCAAUGGGCCAUCACAGAGUGUUUUGACUGCAGCCAAUUCAUUCCAACAUAAUAAUUUCUCAUUCUGGUAUGAGGAGCAUACACUCCGGUGAGGUAACAGGUAAAGAAAUUGUGAGUUGAUACAAAUUCAUAUAUAAUGGAGUAUUGGCCAGUUUCAACUAGAGUCUCGCUCCAACUUCUACUAUCCCACAGCAUAAGGAUUCCCCCACAAAUGUUUGGCCAUAGCUUCUACUUCCUUGCUUAUCUUUGUUUCUUGAAAACAAUACACAUCAGCCUUCCAUUGUUGCAUUAGACUCUUCAUCAAUGUUCUCUUGUUUUGGUUGUUUAGCCCCCUUACGUUCCUGGUGGUCAAGUUAGUUUUCAUUUAAAUUUUAGACUUAGAUUUCUCCCUCUGCUUCUAUUAUCCUCUACUUCUUCAUUUAAACAACAACAACAACAACAUACCCAGUGAAAUUCCACAAGUGCGGUGUGGGGAGGGUAGGACACCAUUCUAUUUCUACUAGCCUUUUAUCCUAAUCUGCGACCCCUUUCUAUCUAAGGUCAUGUCCUCGUUGGUAUGAAGUAGCGCCAUAUCUUGUCUAAUCAACUCUCUCCAAUACUUUUUCGGUCUAUCCCUACCUCUUCAUUUAAACUGGAUUUUAAAAUUUUGAAUUCAUUUUUCCAAAUUCCUCUGCUCUUUGGCGUUGUACUUGCCUUCCUCCUCCCCUUCUUGUUUAGUUGUGUUUUCCUCUCAUCAAUCUUCAUCAACAAGGCUAUGUUUUCUUUUUCAAAACCUUCAAAAGCCACCCCUUAUGUGUUGCUCAGUUCUAGGAUAUGUGAAUUAACCCAGUUUGAUGAUUCUGUCUCAUUCUCUUCUUCAGAAUUUGGGAGCUUAAUGUUUACUGGUUCUGUGUCAUGGAUCUGUUGCAGCUGCAUGUUUUCUUCUGUUGCUAGAGUAUCGCCGUUCUGUCUCCUUUUCCUUCCUUGUCGUGUUCAAAUUCCUGUGGACGACCUUCUUGAGACACGGUCUGACUGCAGCAGAUAUUUCUCUCUGGCUGCAGCAGAUAUUUCUCUCUUCCCCUUCACUUUGUAUCUUCGUGUUCUUUUCUUUCGCAACAGAUGUUUCCCAAUUUCUGAAUGCUUCCAGAAACUUGGCCGCCAGUUCUUUUAACUCUAAAAGGUUAAGUGCUCUGGUGGUUAAGAGAAAUCUGGCCCAAAUUAGUCUCUGACUUUGAAUCAUAAGUUGGUCCAGCUGCUUUACCAUUUUCCCCUCCGCAUGUGGUCUAGUGCUUACACUUCCACCUGCCUCUCUAUUAACUCCUGGGUACUUCCUCGAGAACUGCUGGUUAAUAGUUUUCUCCCUUUCUUCUUCUAUGAUACAGUACCUCCCCGGAAUCUCUGUCCAUAACUACAUGGAGCAAGGAAUUCCGGCGUCCUGUAUGGUCACCUCCUUUGGAAUUCUCGAUCCAUCACCUACGACUCUGUUUCUAGCCCACUUGAGAUGAUUUCGUAAUUGUGUCUCCACAGAGGACUCCAAUGGCCUUGAAAUUUAUCUGCGACCACAGGUGUAAGGGGAGCCCAAUGAUCUUGGUCCAGGUGGAACUCGGGCUGUUCUCCAUAUUUGUGGCCCCUAUUAUCGGAGUCCACCAAUCAAGCAUUACGUUUGAGUUAUUCCAGACCCAAUUGUCAGUGAUCACCUGUUCUGCCAUGUUUCUAGUCGCAAAUUCGAACAAGAACUUCCUAGUCCCCAUCUUGUAUAUUCAAUCCGUGGCUUUGUCUCUAAAGAUUGCUUGCCCAUCUCCUCACCCCCGAUAGGGUUGGCAUCGUCAUGUUCCUUCAAAAUUCCCCACCAGACUUCUCUGCAGAACUUCAUUUUGGCUGUACGAGGAGUCAUUAAUGUAAAUGGUUUCAGCCUCCUUCAUUAAUGUUGGUCGAGCAUUAACUCCAUUCCUUUUCCUAUUACUCCAUUUAAUGCUCUUCACUGCCUUUGCGAAAGGAAUAUUACUAUCCACUAGCCUCUGUUUUAUAUUAAUCUCCUCCCUUCUGUGACUAGAGAGGAAUCUCCCCAUUUUGUCCGCUAUAUGGUCCCAUCCUGAAUUGAACGCUGACUCUGGGAUUGGGUUUAAACACAAAGUUUUUAUAUUUGGCAUAGUCUUUUUUCUUGUCGGAAAAGGUUUAUGAUUCUAUAAAUAGAGGCUCAUUUCUUCUAAACAUAGUAGCAUUUACAAUGUAAUCAUAAGAGCUUUGAGAGUUUUGUGUGGGAGGAGAAACACAAGUGAUAUGUUAUCACUUGUGUGAAUCUGUUAUUUCUCUCGAUAUUUAUUGUGGAUUGCUCAUCUCCUUGUAGGUACAUGCUCAAACAGGUGAUGAUAAUAUCUGCCCUCUGGGAUCAGCUGUGGCAGCCAAUUCAUUGCCUUGCGUGGAGCUGUUAGUAAAGGCAGGGGCUAAUUCAAUGUUAAGACUGGUGAAGCAACUAGGUAUGGUGAAACAACUCCUUUGCUCAUUGCUGCUCAUAAUGGUAAUGCAGAAAUUGUUAACUGCUUACUACAAGCUGGAGCUGAUCCUAAUGUCGCCGAUGAGGAUGGUAAUAAGCCAAUACAUGUUGCAGCUACAAGAGGCAAUCGAGCGGCUGUUGAAGCUUUAUUGGCCGUCACACCACAGAUUCAGAGUGUUCCUGAAUGGAGUGUGGAUGGAGUCAUUGAGUUUAUGCAAUCUGAAUAUAGGAGAAAGCAGCAGGAAAGAACAGAAGCUGGGGGGAAGCAAACUAUGGCCCUAUUCUUAGAUCUCUACUUACAAGGCUGAAGGAUGACUUCAAGAGCUUGAAGCAAAGAGAACGUAUUAUUCCAAAGAAAGAUUUACCUGAGGUCUGUUAUUGGUGGUCACUGUUUUCGAUUUUAUGUGUAUUUUGGGUCAUUUUGUUAUCAAAUUGUACGUGAAAGUAUU